RNAcentral lists this ribosomal RNA (498 nucleotides) under uncultured bacterium. RNAcentral's name for it is "partial 16S ribosomal RNA". It matches the Rfam family "Bacterial small subunit ribosomal RNA", at positions 28 to 507 of the family's 1533-position model. The record is from RNAcentral.
GACGAACGCUGGCGGCGUGCCUAAUACAUGCAAGUCGAACGAGAGCGACCGGUACUUGCACUGGUCAAUCUAGUGGCGAACGGGUGAGUAACACGUGGGUAACCUGCCCAUCAGAGGGGGAUAACAUCCGGAAACGGAUGCUAAAACCGCAUAGGUCUUCGAACCGCAUGGUUUGAAGAGGAAAAGAGGCGCAAGCUUCUGCUGAUGGAUGGACCCGCGGUGCAUUAGCUAGUUGGUGAGGUAACGGCUCACCAAGGCCGUGAUGCAUAGCCGACCUGAGAGGGUGAUCGGCCACAUUGGGACUGAGACACGGCCCAAACUCCUACGGGAGGCAGCAGUAGGGAAUCUUCCGCAAUGGACGCAAGUCUGACGGAGCAACGCCGCGUGAGUGAAGAAGGUUUUCGGAUCGUAAAACUCUGUUGUUAGAGAAGAACAAGUGCUAGAGUAACUGUUAGCGCCUUGACGGUAUCUAACCAGAAAGCCACGGCUAACUACGUG